CUUGGUCAUUUAGAGGAAGUAAAAGUCGUAACAAGGUCUCCGUUGGUGAACCAGCGGAGGGAUCAUUACCGAGUUUACAACUCCCAAACCCCUGUGAACAUACCACUUGUUGCCUCGGCGGAUCAGCCCGCUCCCGGUAAAACGGGACGGCCCGCCAGAGGACCCCUAAACUCUGUUUCUAUAUGUAACUUCUGAGUAAAACCAUAAAUAAAUCAAAACUUUCAACAACGGAUCUCUUGGUUCUGGCAUCGAUGAAGAACGCAGCAAAAUGCGAUAAGUAAUGUGAAUUGCAGAAUUCAGUGAAUCAUCGAAUCUUUGAACGCACAUUGCGCCCGCCAGUAUUCUGGCGGGCAUGCCUGUUCGAGCGUCAUUUCAACCCUCAAGCACAGCUUGGUGUUGGGACUCGCGUUAAUUCGCGUUCCUCAAAUUGAUUGGCGGUCACGUCGAGCUUCCAUAGCGUAGUAGUAAAACCCUCGUUACUGGUAAUCGUCGCGGCCACGCCGUUAAACCCCAACUUCUGAAUGUUGACCUCGGAUCAGGUAGGAAUACCCGCUGAACUUAAGCAUAUCAAUAAGCGGAGGA
Molecule: non-coding RNA, 582 nt
Filed under: Fusarium oxysporum
Lineage: Eukaryota; Fungi; Ascomycota; Sordariomycetes; Hypocreales; Nectriaceae
Also listed under: 3 other names
Description: eukaryotic LSU rRNA
Rfam family: 5.8S ribosomal RNA (bases 217-370)
Source: RNAcentral